AACAUCAUUUUUAUCGCUCACACUGACCCCAUACUCUUUUUUUAGAGAGGGAAGACGCAAUUUUCGAGUUCCUUCUGGUUUUCGGGGUCGGUAAGAAGCGUAGACAGAAUCUCAAGACCGUUGCUGGGCGCCUGAUGUUGAUUUUUUUCAUAAAAAGAGGAUACAUUUGGAAUCAGCUGUUUCUACAAUU
RNAcentral lists this small nucleolar RNA (190 nucleotides) under Lachancea kluyveri NRRL Y-12651. RNAcentral describes it as "Small nucleolar RNA snR32". It matches the Rfam family "Small nucleolar RNA snR32". The record is from Rfam by way of RNAcentral. Lineage: Eukaryota; Fungi; Ascomycota; Saccharomycetes; Saccharomycetales; Saccharomycetaceae.